Molecule: ribosomal RNA, 487 nt
Filed under: uncultured bacterium
Lineage: Bacteria
Description: bacterial SSU rRNA
Rfam family: Bacterial small subunit ribosomal RNA
Source: RNAcentral
AGAGUUUGAUCCUGGCUUAGAACGAACGCUGGCGGCAUGGAUUAGGCAUGCAAGUUGAACGAACUCCUUCGGGAGUGAGUAGCGGAAGGGUGAGGAACGCGUGAGUAAUCUGCCCCCCAGUUGGGAAUAACAGUUGGAAACGACUGCUAAUACCGAAUGUGGCUUAAGCUUCGCCUGGAGCUUUGGCUAAAGAUUUAUCGCUGGGGGAUGAGCUCGCGUCCCAUUAGGUAGUUGGUGAGGUAACGGCUCCCCAAGCCGACGAUGGGUAGCUGGUCUGAGAGGAUGGUCAGCCACACUGGGACUGAGACACUGCCCAGACUCCUACGGGAGGCUGCAGUCGAGAAUCUUGGGCAAUGCGCGAAAGCGUGAACCCCCAGCAAUGCCGCGUGUAUGAUGAAGGCCCUCGGGUCGUAAAGUACUGUCUCCCGUGACGAAAUUUGACGGUAGCGGGGAAGGAAGCCACGGCUAACUACGUGCCAGCAGCCGC